Molecule: unclassified non-coding RNA, 282 nt
Filed under: uncultured fungus
Lineage: Eukaryota; Fungi
Description: partial contains small subunit ribosomal RNA, internal transcribed spacer 1, and 5.8S ribosomal RNA
Rfam family: Eukaryotic small subunit ribosomal RNA (bases 1-73)
Source: RNAcentral
UCAAACUUGGUCAUUUAGAGGAAGUAAAAGUCGUAACAAGGUCUCCGUUGGUGAACCAGCGGAGGGAUCAUUACAGAGUGUCAAAACUCCCAAAACCCAUGUGAACAUACCUAUCGUUGCUUCGGCGGGACUGCCCCGGGCGCCUUGUGUGCCCCGGAAACAGGCGCCCGCCGGGGGACCCAAACUCUUGUUUUAUUGAGUAUCUUCUGAGUAAACGUUUUUAAAUAAAUAAAAACUUUCAACAACGGAUCUCUUGGUUCUGGCAUCGAUGAAGAACGCAGC